CCUACGGGAGGCAGCAGUGAGGAAUAUUGGUCAAUGGACGAGAGUCUGAACCAACCAAGUAGCGUGAAGGAUGACUGCCCUAUGGGUUGUAAACUUCUUUUAUAUGGGAAUAAAAUGUUCCACGUGUGGGAUUUUGUAUGUACCAUAUGAAUAAGGAUCGGCUAACUCCGUGCCAGCAGCCGCGGUAAUACGGAGGAUCCGAGCGUUAUCCGGAUUUAUUGGGUUUAAAGGGAGCGUAGGUGGAUUGUUAAGUCAGUUGUGAAAGUUUGCGGCUCAACCGUAAAAUUGCAGUUGAAACUGGCAGUCGUGAGUACAGUAGAGGUGGGCGGAAUUCGUGGUGUAGCGGUGAAAUGCUUAGAUAUCACGAAGAACUCCGAUUGCGAAGGCAGCUCACUGGACUGCAACUGACACUGAGGCUCGAAAGUGUGGGUAUCAAACAGGAUGAGAUACCCCAGUAGUA
Molecule: ribosomal RNA, 460 nt
Filed under: uncultured bacterium
Lineage: Bacteria
Description: partial 16S ribosomal RNA
Rfam family: Bacterial small subunit ribosomal RNA
Source: RNAcentral